AUGCUUGUUCAUAACAUGUCAAGUGCACAUAAAAAAUUUCAUGAUCAUUGGAUUCAUUUCUGUUUUAAUGUGGAUUUCUAUGUUUGAUGUCCAAUUGUGAUCACUUUGUUUGCCUUUGCCUUAUCUUGUUUAAUAGAUGGCUUUGCUUAAUGAUUUGGCUUUGGUCCUUUUGAGGCUUUCUUAUUGUUUGAUUGGACAUGCUUCACAUGAAAUAUUGGUUGUUUUCCUUGCCUUUGACCCUAGUCUUUGU
RNAcentral lists this long non-coding RNA (250 nucleotides) under Lathyrus oleraceus (garden pea). RNAcentral's name for it is "Pisum sativum (pea) long non-coding RNA (PSAT_LNC011706)". Lineage: Eukaryota; Viridiplantae; Streptophyta; Magnoliopsida; Fabales; Fabaceae. The record is from RNAcentral.